GGCCUAAUGCCAAUCUCUCGCCAACUUCACUCCAAUAAAGUGGCGAUCUACACUUCCGUCCAUAAAGUGCUUCGAAGGGCGCCAUCUUGAUGCUUGCUUGAUAACUGUUGUUAUAAGCAAAUUCCGCCAUCGGUAGAUGCUGCGACCAUCCUCCCUGGAAGUCUAUCACACAUGCUCGGAGCAUAUCCUCUAAGGUCUGAAUAGU
Molecule: long non-coding RNA, 205 nt
Filed under: Ananas comosus (pineapple)
Lineage: Eukaryota; Viridiplantae; Streptophyta; Magnoliopsida; Poales; Bromeliaceae
Description: long non-coding RNA (ACOM_LNC036488)
Source: RNAcentral